This 200-nucleotide unclassified non-coding RNA is filed under the name soil metagenome. RNAcentral describes it as "partial contains internal transcribed spacer 2 and large subunit ribosomal RNA". The record is from RNAcentral.
CAUUUCAACCCUCAAGCUCAGCUUGGUGAUGGGCGAUCGUCCCGCCGCUCGCGCGUGGACCCGCCUCGAAAGCAUUGGCGGCCGGUACGUUGGCUUCGAGCGCAGCACAUUAGCGCCUCGAGCCCGGCGGACUGGCCCUCCAUCAAGCCGAACCCCACAGCUUUGACCUCGGAUCAGGUAGGGAUACCCGCUGAACUUAA